RNAcentral lists this long non-coding RNA (3786 nucleotides) under Patiria miniata (bat star). RNAcentral describes it as "uncharacterized LOC119744612". Lineage: Eukaryota; Metazoa; Echinodermata; Asteroidea; Valvatida; Asterinidae. The record is from RNAcentral.
UUGCACGUGGGUAGAGAUUCCUUAGCACAUCGAUCGACACUACUCAGCGCAGUAUAGCAUGAUACGAAAUGGAGGGCAGAGUUACUCCUUCUUGAACAUUUCUCUCGUAACUUUGGCCGUCUCGUCUUCGAUAGCUAGGCGUCCAUCUGUAUAGCUCAGCCUGUGCUCUGAUGCCUUGGGGUAGACGAGCGAUACAGAACUCGGACCAGCCGCAGGUUUCCCUGCAGCCAGUCCGGGUUGCCGCGGCCAGGACUCGAACCAGGGGCACCGGCUUGCCCGCUGGGACCUCUACCGGGUGCGCUAUCUGGGUCCCCCCGUUGAAACUACACUUCCAAUAAUUAAAACCCUUAGAAUCAACUACAGAAAUCGAAAAUAAAAUACGGCCCCGAGAUUCGAACCCGGGUCUCCAGAUCAGAAGUUCCGUGCCUUACCGCCAGGCCACCGGCACUUCUGAGAUUCGAAUUUUGAAUUUUAAAUAUAUAUAACAUGGAUUCGUACUUAGUAAUAAAUCAGAAAUUUGGAUAUCUGGCUGGGGAUUUGCACCCGUGAUCUGAUCAACGUUGCUAAUUUUUAUCAAACUUGUUAGUGCUGAAAUAUAUAUUUUUAAAAUAUUAUUAACGUUUAAAUAAACUUGCUUACGUGAUGCCUCAUGGCGAGUAGAAAACAACUUCCGAAGUCGUACGGUAUUGGUGAUGAUUUUGUUCUGCCCCACUGGCGAAGCCGAGGUACCGUUUCUGCCAUGUCCUUCAAGUUGUUGAUGCCCUCCGACUAACUCAAGAUCAACUCGGCACAUUUCUUCAGUCUUGGUAUAUAUUUUUGUCUUGGAAUACCCAGCAAGUAAUUUUACUACUCUAUAAUUUUGGACAUUUUACGUCAUUAUCAAGAUAGGGUAAAAUACUGGAAAUCUUGUCAAUGGGAUAUCUUACAAUAAUUUUGCGGUGCCAAAUACAGACCUAUUUAUGUAAAACAAAUUAUGUGUGACUGUCUUUAAAAAAAAAUAAUUAUCCUAAAACUGGGCUUCAGACCGGGUUGGUCUUGGGAUCAUCUAGAAGCCUUUUGAUGUCACUUUCUUUAGGUAAAGGUAAUUGUCAAUGGUAGGGGGAAAAUACCUCAAGAAAUACUUAAAUUAACUUCAAGUUUGAAACGAUCUCCAGUAUUUGACCAUUAUCAAAAUAACCUGAAUCAAGAUUUAUGACAAGACAUUUUAUGACCUAGGGGUCUGUCAUUGUGCAGGGUUGCAGAGACACGCCCUAUUGGCGAGUGUUUUUGUUUCAUUUUUUUUCUUCUCCUUUGCAGCCCUGCACUGUCCACGUUCUGUCUUUCGUGUGUAGUGUUUACUUGGUUUCUUAUUGUUUGUAUAUCCUUUUGUCUUAAUAUCAAAUUUUAUGUAUUUAUUGUAAUUGUGUGUUUAUAUGUCAAUUUGCCGGAUAAAAUAUUAUUAUUAUUAUUAUUAUUAUUAUUAUGUCUGAAAGUAACGAUGAUCCAUUUCCGAUAAAAAUCUGUUGUAAUACCAAAUAAAAACUGGGGAAAUAAAAAGUGGUACCAACUUGAGCGUAUAGAUGGCUGUGCAUUACGGUUUCGAUAUAAAUCCACAUAGUCGUCUCAUCGGACUGGUUUAAUUAUUAUUUUGAAAACUUUGAAACACUAUGUCUGGCUCCGAAAUUCUCUACUCCGAUGCACUUUACUUAAACAAAUAGUCCCAUCCUGGCUCAUUGCCUUAAAAAAGCAAAAUUCCAUCAUUUCUGCGGCUCUCUCAUCAGACCUCUGAAACUUGAGAGGAACAAAAUUAUGCGAAGGUCGUUAUGGUGUACAUUUCCAAGAAUCAAUGAAUAAAAGAUCGAUUCUAAAUUCACUUUCGUUAGUUCAAGUGUUCGGUAUCGAGUAAUUCACAAAAAAACUGAGAUGAGGUAUAUGAUACUGAAGACAACGUGUUUGAGAAUCGAAUUUCAAAACUGUUUACAAUUACAUUGAUCAUUGAAUUUUGUGACACUAAAGUGGUGUUGAUACAAAAAUAAUUGUGGCUGAAAUAAUCCACGGCAAAAUUACGUUUGUCGUCUUUGCAUAUGUUUCAUGUCUGACAUAUCGAAGAAUUUGUAAAAUUGACAAAGAUUGUAGCGGAACCCGCGGCUCUGCAAGAACGAUUUCGAUAAAUCAAGAUAUCACGUUACAUAAUUACAUUAGGCGUCAGAACAUACUCUUUCAGGUUUCCUUGAACAAAUCUCAUUAAAAUAGUCCCAUUCUGCCUCAUUAGAUGCCCGUACAUUCUUGAGACAUCACGCACACAAUGAAACCUCCAAAAGUCCGUUGCAUCUGAACCUAGACUGACAAUCCACCAACAAAACACCGUCUUCACUUCACCGAGGAACAGACAAUCUCCCCAAACCGCCAUGGGGCUCACACAGCCUCACGUCCCGCGUUGGUAGUGUCAAGACACGGUAGUAUUAAUUGGUUUUGAAGACGGCACAGUCCUUGCCUCGCUAAGUCGACCGCCUCCACAUCCACAACCACAAGGACCUCGCUCUACUCUCUUUUGUAAUUAGUUUGUCUGAAGGCACUGGGAUUUCUUUGAAGAUGUGUUUUUGCCGUCUCUGGCGCUGCUCUUUCCGCUGGCUAGGAAUAACAGGCUAAUUUUAAGAGUGUUUGGGGCGGUAAAAGUGAUGGGUUCAUCAGGUACUACAGUUGAGCAGGUGUUGGGAGGAAAUGUUGGGCCUUUGUCGGCUUAAGUGGAGAGGAUUUAGACGGUAAAGCUGUAGAUUUUCACAUUUUUUUCAACAGGUUUCCCCAACUCAAUGCGUUUAAACUUUACAAAGAUAUUGAGAAAAUACCAUUAGUUUUCAAGCUGGAAAAACAAGAAUGGAUAAACAUCAAAAUAACUUUUUUUCUACACACAUGCAGUGAUGCAGAUUACACCCAUUUAUAUUAAACCAGGAACCAUAAACAGUAACUUCCAAAUAUGACCUUUUGCUUUCAACACACUAUAACCAGCAGUUGUUCGGUGUCACGUUCACAAGUUACCCACAAAAUCGAACCAAUCUUGAGGCUUUGAGGUGCCGCUAGGCACUCAUCAUGACGGAUGGAUUUCGUUCUACUUCCGCGGUAAAUGUUCUUCAGUUAAUGUAAAACCAAACAUAGCAAUCAAACCCCCUCCCCCUCCGGAAUAGCACACAUCACCUAAUUUAUCACAAGAAAUAGAAUAUAAUACAGUCAAGGCGAGCAAGAAAACCAAUCUAUUUAUUUGCCUUAGGCUUAGCCAAGAAUUGUUAGGGAAUACAAAGGCAACAAAGUAAAGCAUAAAAACCCAAAUAUCAACGCCUACGGUGCUUGCAGGUGAAAACGGAAUGCAUCAUCAUGCUGAGGAAAAAACGAUUUUUGACGAUGUUUUUCAAAAUAAAAACGAAAAGCGCAAGGUCUCAAGAAAUUUGAUGUACUUAAGCGAACAUUUAAUGCAGAAAUGAUAACCUACAUGUUUGUGUAGCUGUUUGUUUUACUUCAGUGCCUAUUGUUUCUGUCAUCGUAACCUUAAUAGAAAACUUCAAGUCUGAACUCAGUUUUGUUUCUUGUAAAUAAACUCACAAAUUAUUUUUUUUCCAAUGAUGGGAUAUAAUUUUUACUGAACACAAAAAAUCAUAUAAACAAGUAAGUAUUUUUCAGACGAUCUUUGAAACAACCAUCAAAACAAUAAUGAAGGACAGGUAUUACCAAAACUUUUAGUGUUUUAAAGACUGGUAAACGAUUAAGUAAAAGGCAGAAGUUACAAAUCGCUUGAACACAAUAUCUGUUUUUAAA